GUUAAUUUUUAUUAUCAAAAAAACAAAAUCAGUCAUAACAUCACAAUGCUUUAAGGGUCAUGAGCACCUCAUAGAACACAGCAAGAAGUAAAACUCUUCAAAGUACUUUAACUUGUAAUGACAAAAUAUUAAAAAAAUACUCUGUUCUGAUGUCACUGGUUUUAAGUGCUGUGUUGUCCAUUUUUGUUUUUUUAAAACAAGUUUAGUCUUGAGAAGCUACGCGCCUCUCUGGUUCCAGAAACUGGCAAACUUUAAAAGAGUUAAAAGUUCACAGAGCUCCGGAGAUGUCUGGAGAACGGUCCGAGAGAUCACGUUCACAGACCUCAGCACCUCUUCGGAAGUGUAGUGGUUCUUGAAGUCGCAUCAAAGAGCCGAAGAGUUCAUUACGCCAAUUAGCAGCGUUUGAUCCGAGAGUUGCUCUCGACACAUUUUAUACACAUAUCACGUCCACAGCUAAAUAGCGACUCCAGCUCCGAGAUCUGUCCAGAUCUUUCCUCAGCAGCCUCCAUCACAGAAGGAAGACGAAGUCCCCUUGUUUCAGGGCUCUGAAUGAGUGACCUCAUGUAUUACAGGACCACCAGUUCGAACAAAGCAAAGGGCGUAAUUAUCCAGCCCCCCCCUCUAGCUGAGGUUUAAUAACACUUAAGGAUUCUCACAUUUUUGGAUUUAUAAGGCUGAAAGAUGCGAUUUUUUUCUUCUUUGGCACCAAGAAAUGAUUGCCCACAAUUCUCUGCUAUCUGCUACCCAUCUACAUUCAAGGGUGAAGGCAGCAGCUAUAAUAGAGACAAAAAUCCUCACAGGUCUUCAACCCUGGUCCUGAAGAACCUCAACCCAGUUCGCGAAGUAGUCUGGGACCUCUGGUCCAGUCAGUCCAGGGGGUCUGUGUCCUCUGGUCCAGUCAGUCCAGGGGUCUGUGACCUCUGGUCCAGUCAGUCCAGGGGGUCUGUGUCCCUGGCCCAGUCAGUCCAGGGGGUCUGUGUCCCUGGNNNNNNNNNNNNNNNNNNNNNNNNNNNNNNNNNNNNNNNNNNNNNNNNNNNNNNNNNNNNNNNNNNNNNNNNNNNNNNNNNNNNNNNNNNNNNNNNNNNNCCAGUCAGUCCAGGGGGUCUGUGUCCCUGGCCCAGUCAGUCCAGGGGGUCUGUGUCCCUAUGUGACCCUGUGUAUAUUUUGUUGCCUGCUGAGACACACCUGUUUCUCGUUGCUUUUCGGGAAUAAGCCCUUUCCACCCGCGGGUCAGCUGGUUUCUCUCGGCGGCCAUCUUGGUCAGGUCUACAUCAAGUAUAUUGAGCAGAUCAGAUCGUUCCCGAAAUAUCGGUCCUCGAUGACCCUUCCCCUGGCCCUCUUACACAGCUCAUCAACAACAAUCUUCGAUCGCUAAUCGCUAAGCACGAUUCCACCUGAGUAGUUGGCAACGGCUCCGUUUCAACCGAAGUACCCCCUCGGAAUUUCAGGUUUUUCUCCCCCUGUCUCCCAUGUAAGAGACUAACAUGCUUCAUGCGUCUUGUUUAGUUCCAGACUGGGCCAAAAACACCCCCCCCCCCCGUCAUAAACAGCGUCAGAGGGCCGCUUCACCUCGCCAGAAGUCUCGCUGUCUCGUUCCGCAUCGCAGGGGCAAACCUGGACAUGUUGUCCAUUUUUGUGAUGGGACACUGCGACGUGCAAAAACCUUCAAUUGACAUUUUGGUUUUGAAAUGCACUCGUCGUCGCCGAGUGCUCUUCCUAACCCCAAACCAGAGCUUCUCUCUCUUCUUCAUAGUAAUACAUAAUAUGCCGUCUGUUAUAUCAGUGCUAGAUUAGUUUUAGAACUACCUGGAGGCGUUAGACAGGGCUGUGCGAAAUAUGCAGGAACAACACAGCUGCACUUAUGGUGAAAAGCGCCUAAUUCUACUUAACGUUCCUGAUAUAGUGCUGCAGACGAGAUCAGACCACUUUCUUGGCCCUAUACAAUGUCUUGCAUGAGGAAUCGGUCUUGUCGCAGACCCCAGCUGGCUCUCCAGGAGACACACAGACAGGGAGAGAGAGAAGCUGGGGGUGAGAGCGCAGGGGCAGACAUUGUACAGCGCCACCUGGAUCAGCUGGGGUUCAGGGCCUCGCUCAGGGGGGCCCCAACAGAGUAGGAUUCCUCUGCCGGCCGCGGGAUUUGAACCGGCAAACCCCUCCCAGCCCCAGGCGCAGAUCCUGAGCCACAGCUCCACCCCGGUUUAGCCUAUCUCGAGCCACUAGACAACUAUACGUCCUACGCUCUCCAAUCUACAACUUUCCCGGCUACACCACUCCUCUGGAACUGGGGCUCCGGAUCUCCCAGAGGCUGUGCCGGUCUGAGAACACCGCUGCCAUCCUCACCGAAGCCCACCAGCGCCUUCGCAUCCUGCGCCGGUUCAGGAAGUGGGGGAUGAGCAAGUCAACACUCACCAGUUUUUACCGUAGUACCACUGCGAGUGUCCUGACCGGUGGUAUUAUGGUGUGGUAUGGCAGUUACCACACAGCUAACUGCCCCCGAGUGCCCAGACACCUACCACACAGGUAACUGCCCCCGAGUGCCCAGACACCUACCACACAGGUAACUGCCCCCGCGUGCCCAGACACCUACCACACAGGUAACUGCCCCCGCGUGCCCAGACACCUACCACACAGGUAACUGCCCCCGAGUGCCCAGACACCUACCACACAGGUAACUGCCCCCGAGUGCCCAGACACCUACCACAC
Molecule: long non-coding RNA, 2703 nt
Filed under: Lepisosteus oculatus (spotted gar)
Lineage: Eukaryota; Metazoa; Chordata; Actinopteri; Semionotiformes; Lepisosteidae
Description: lncRNA (ENSLOCG00000021480.1)
Source: RNAcentral